RNAcentral lists this long non-coding RNA (436 nucleotides) under Volvox carteri. RNAcentral's name for it is "long non-coding RNA (VCAR_LNC001566)". The record is from RNAcentral. Lineage: Eukaryota; Viridiplantae; Chlorophyta; Chlorophyceae; Chlamydomonadales; Volvocaceae.
CCAGGCACCGCACAGGCCCACCAUGGGCGUGGUCACACACAGGACCCUGAAAGCGAGCAACUGCACACGCGUAUAGGCCGCCACGCUGGCGCCGGCCUACAUGCAUACACCCCCGAACACCGGGUCCCUCACAUCUCCUCUACCACCGAGCGGCGCACCGCCAUCGACUUCUUCACGUACAGCUGCACUGCUUCUGACUUCGAUCGCCCGUGCUCUUUGAUGGCCUCCAAGCUGGCUACGGCGUUGGCCACCGUGGUCACGCUUCCUCACCGCAAUCUGUGUGCCGAGAGGGAGAUGCAGCUGACCGUGAGGCCAGGCACCGCCAGCUGCAGCUCCUUGAUCGACUGGUGCAGCCAGUGGGUGAAGCCAGCCCUCUCCCAGGCCACCUGGCGCGCCCCACGCACCUCAUGCACGAAAGCAGCGCUUCUGAACGCUC